AACUAUAACGGUCCUAAGGUAGCGAAAUUCCUUGUCAGGUAAGUUCUGACCCGCACGAAUGGCGUAAUGAUUUGGGCACUGUCUCAACAGCCCGCCCGGCGAAAUUGUAGUACUGGUGAAGAUGCCAGUUACCCGCAACUAGACGGAAAGACCCCAUGGAGCUUUACUGCAGCUUAAUACUGAAAUUCGGUAGUACAUGUACAGGAUAGGUGGGAGACUGAGAAAUACAGGCGUCAGCUUGUAUGGAGUCGCUGUUGGGAUACCACUCUUGUACUGCUGGGUUUCUAACCUGCGGCCGUGAAUCCGGUCGGGGGACACUGUUAGGCGGGCAGUUUGACUGGGGCGGUCGCCUCCCAAAAGGUAACGGAGGCGCUCAAAGGUUCGUUCAGCACGGACGGAAAUCGUGCAAUGAGUGUAAACGCAUAAACGAGCCUAACUGCGACACCGACGGGUCGAGCAGUAACGAAAGUUGGAGUUAGUGAUCCGGUGGUAUGUGAGUGGAAAUGCCAUCGCUCAACGGAUAAAAGCUACCCUGGGGAUAACAGGCUGAUCUCCCCCAAGCGUCCACAGCGACGGGGAGGUUUGGCACCUCGAUGUCGGCUCGUCGCAUCCUGGGGCUGAAUUCGGUCCCAAGGGUUUGGCUGUUCGCCAAUUAAAGCGGCACGCGAGCUGGGUUCAGAACGUCGUGAGACAGUUCGGUCCCUAUCUGUUGCGGGCGUAAGAGAUUUGAAGGGAGCUGUCCUUAGUACGAGAGGACCGGGAUGGACGUACCUCUGGUGCACCAGUUGUCCUGCCAAGGGCAUAGCUGGGUAGCUAUGUACGGACGAGAUAAACGCUGAAAGCAUCUAAGCGUGAAACUCCCCCUAAGAUGAGAUCUCUCAUCCUUUAAGGAGUAAGGACCCAGAAAGACGAUCUGGUUGAUAGGCCGAAGGUGGAAGCGCAGUAAUGUGUGGAGCUGAUCGGUACUAAUAGUCCGAGGGCUUGACCUA
RNAcentral lists this ribosomal RNA (989 nucleotides) under human gut metagenome. RNAcentral's name for it is "bacterial LSU rRNA". It matches the Rfam family "Bacterial large subunit ribosomal RNA", at positions 1938 to 2925 of the family's 2925-position model. The record is from RNAcentral.